This 252-nucleotide ribosomal RNA is filed under the name uncultured bacterium. RNAcentral describes it as "partial 16S ribosomal RNA". It matches the Rfam family "Bacterial small subunit ribosomal RNA", at positions 524 to 776 of the family's 1533-position model. The record is from RNAcentral.
UACGGAGGAUGCGAGCGUUAUCCGGAUUUAUUGGGUUUAAAGGGUGCGUAGGCGGGCUUUUAAGUCAGCGGUAAAAAUUCGGGGCUCAACCCCGUCCGGCCGUUGAAACUGGGGGUCUUGAGUGGGCGAGAAGAUGGCGGAAUGCGUGGUGUAGCGGUGAAAUGCAUAGAUAUCACGCAGAACCCCGAUUGCGAAGGCAGCCUUCCGGCGCCCUACUGACGCUGAGGCACGAAAGUGCGGGGAUCGAACAGG